AAAUGAAUAGACGGGGACCCGCACAAGCGGUGGAGCAUGUGGUUUAAUUCGACGCAACGCGAGGAACCUUACCAGGUCUUGACAUCGUAGGAAUUUAUUAGAGAUAAUGAAGUGCCUCUAUGAGGAACCUAUAGACAGGUGGUGCAUGGCUGUCGUCAGCUCGUGUCGUGAGAUGUUAGGUUAAGUCCUAUAACGAGCGCAACCCCUAUUGAUAGUUGCUAACAUUAAGUUGAGGACUCUAUCGAGACUGCCUGCGACGAGCAGGAGGAAGGUGGGGAUGACGUCAAGUCAUCAUGCCCCUUAUGACCUGGGCUACACACGUGCUACAAUGGGUAGUACAAAGAGAAGCGAAGUGGUGACAUGGAGCAAAACUCAAAAAGCUACUCUUAGUUCGGAUUGAAGUCUGCAACUCGACUUCAUGAAGUUGGAAUCGCUAGUAAUCGCAAAUCAGCAAUGUUGCGGUGAAUACGUUCUCGGGUCUUGUACACACCGCCCGU
RNAcentral lists this ribosomal RNA (497 nucleotides) under uncultured bacterium. Its description in RNAcentral is "bacterial SSU rRNA". It matches the Rfam family "Bacterial small subunit ribosomal RNA", at positions 903 to 1397 of the family's 1533-position model. The record is from RNAcentral.